RNAcentral lists this ribosomal RNA (1477 nucleotides) under human gut metagenome. RNAcentral describes it as "bacterial LSU rRNA". It matches the Rfam family "Bacterial large subunit ribosomal RNA", at positions 841 to 2430 of the family's 2925-position model. The record is from RNAcentral.
GGAAAUAGCUGGUUCUCCGCGAAAACUAUUUAGGUAGUGCGGUGAGCGGACACCUUGAGGGGUAGAGCACUGGAAGAGCUAAGGGGGAGCGAUCCUUACUAAACUUUACCAAACUCCGAAUACUCAAGAGUGAUACUCACCAGACAGACAUUAGGUGCUAAGGUCUAGUGUCGAGAGGGAAAGAGCCCAGACCGCCAAUUAAGGUCCCAAAAUUAUGGCUAAGUGGUAAAGGAAGUGAAACGUCCAAAACAGUCAGGAGGUUGGCUUAGAAGCAGCCAUCCUUUAAAGAAAGCGUAAUAGCUCACUGAUCUAAACAAGACGUCUUGCGCCGAAGAUGUAACGGGGCUAAAGCCAUAUACCGAAGUUGCGGAUUUACACGUUAAAGUGUAAGUGGUAGCGGAGCGUUCUGUAAGCCUGCGAAGGUGUACCGUAAGGUAUGCUGGAGGUAUCAGAAGUGAGAAUGCUGACAUGAGUAGCGAAAAGAAGAGUGAGAGACUCUUCCGCUGAAAGUCCAAGGUUUCCUGCGUAAAGCUAAUCUGCGCAGGGUUAGUCGGUCCCUAAGGCGAGGCAGAGAUGCGUAGUCGAUGGCAAUCAGGUUAAUAUUCCUGAACCGGCCCGGAAGUGACGGAUUGAGUAAAUUGUAAGUUCUUAUUGGAUUGAGCUUGCAGUGAAUCAGUCCCAGGAAAUAGCCCGGGCUAAGACCGUACCCGAAACCGACACAGGUAGGUAGAGAAUACCAAAGCGCUUGAGAGAACUAUGUUGAAGGAACUAGGCAAAAUACUUGCGUAACUUCGGGAUAAGCAAGCCCCAUUUUAAGGCAACUUAGGGUGGGGGGCACAUACUAGGGGGUAGCGACUGUUUACUAAAAACACAGGGCUCUGCUAAAUUGAAAGAUGAAGUAUAGGGUCUGACGCCUGCCCGGUGCUGGAAGGUUAAGGAGAGAUGUGCAAGCAUUGAACUGAAGCCCCAGUAAACGGCGGCCGUAACUAUAACGGUCCUAAGGUAGCGAAAUUCCUUGUCGGGUAAGUUCCGACCUGCACGAAUGGCGUAACGACUUCCCCGCUGUCUCCAACAUAGGCUCAGCGAAAUUGAACUCUGAGUUAAGAUGCUCAGUACCCGCGGUUAGACGGAGAGACCCCGUGAACCUUUACUAUAGCUUUGCAGUGGUAUUAGGUAACAAAUGUGUAGAAUAGGUGGGAUGCUAUGAAGCUACGACGCCAGUUGUAGUGGAGCAGACUUUGAAAUACCACCCUUUUGUUGUUUGAUAUCUAACCUGCUCCCGUUAUCCGGGAGAGGGACCCUGCAUGGUGGGUAGUUUGACUGGGGCGGUCGCCUCCCAAAGAGUAACGGAGGCGCGCAAAGGUUGGCUCAGAUUGGUCAGAAAUCAAUCGUUGAGUGCAAUGGCAUAAGCCAGCCUGACUGCGAGAGCGACGGUUCGAGCAGAUACGAAAGUAGGUCAUAGUGAUCCGGUGGUCCC